This 253-nucleotide ribosomal RNA is filed under the name uncultured bacterium. Its description in RNAcentral is "partial 16S ribosomal RNA". It matches the Rfam family "Bacterial small subunit ribosomal RNA", at positions 524 to 776 of the family's 1533-position model. The record is from RNAcentral.
UACGUAGGGUGCAAGCGUUAAUCGGAAUUACUGGGCGUAAAGCGUGCGCAGGCGGUUAUACAAGACAGAGGUGAAAUCCCCGGGCUUAACCUGGGCACUGCCUUUGUGACUGUAUGGCUAGAAUCUGGCAGAGGGGGGUAGAAUUCCACGUGUAGCAGUGAAAUGCGUAGAGAUGUGGAGGAACACCGAUGGCGAAGGCAGCCCCCUGGGUCAAGAUUGACGCUCAUGCACGAAAGCGUGGGGAGCAAACAGG